RNAcentral lists this ribosomal RNA (889 nucleotides) under uncultured bacterium. RNAcentral's name for it is "bacterial SSU rRNA". It matches the Rfam family "Bacterial small subunit ribosomal RNA", at positions 1 to 904 of the family's 1533-position model. The record is from RNAcentral.
GGAUCCAGACUUUGAUCAUGGCUCACCACUAACGCUGGCGGCGCGCCUAACACAUGCAAGUCGAACGAGAGAGAGGGAGCUUGCUUCCUCGAUCGAGUGGCGAACGGGUGAGUAACGCGUGAGGAACCUGCCUCAAAGAGGGGGACAACAGUUGGAAACGACUGCUAAUACCGCAUAAGCCCACGGCUCGGCAUCGAGCAGAGGGAAAAGGAGCAAUCCGCUUUGAGUUGGCCUCGCGUUCGAUUAGCUAGUUGGUGAGGUAACGGCCCACCAAGGCGACGAUCGGUAGCCGGACUGAGAGGUUGAACGGCCACAUUGGGACUGAGACACGGCCCAGACUCCUACGGGAGGCAGCAGUGGGGAAUAUUGCACAAUGGGGGAAACCCUGAUGCAGCGACGCCGCGUGGAGGAAGAAGGUCUUCGGAUUGUAAACUCCUGUUGUUGAGGAAGAUAAUGACGGUACUCAACAAGGAAGUGACGGCUAACUACGUGCCAGCAGCCGCGGUAAAACGUAGGUCACAAGCGUUGUCCGGAAUUACUGGGUGUAAAGGGAGCGCAGGCGGGCGAUCAAGUUGGAAGUGAAAUCCAUGGGCUCAACCCAUGAACUGCUUUCAAUACUGAUUGUCUUGAGUAGUGCAGAGGUAGGCGGAAUUCCCGGUGUAGCGGUGGAAUGCGUGGAUAUCGGGAGGAACACCAGUGGCGAAGGCGGCCUACUGGGCACCAACUGACGCUGAGGCUCGAAAGUGUGGGUAGCAAACAGGAUUAGAUACCCUGGUAGUCCACACCGUAAACGAUGAUUACUAGGUGUUGGAGGAUUGACCCCUUCAGUGCCGCAGUUAACACAAUAAGUAAUCCACCUGGGGAGUACGACCGCAAGGUUGCAACUCAA